Molecule: long non-coding RNA, 1035 nt
Organism: Sorghum bicolor (sorghum)
Lineage: Eukaryota; Viridiplantae; Streptophyta; Magnoliopsida; Poales; Poaceae
Exons: 2
Source: RefSeq, a predicted model, not a curated record
UAUAUGAACACGGCUUCCAAUUAGCCCUGGGUUGGGUGGGUCCUGAUGCCUGAUGCUACCACACGCCUAGGCUCAGAGGCAGAGUUCAGUUGAGUUCAGUACACAAGACAAGAUCUAUCUGCAAAGAUCAUCAUGAUCCUUGACAGUUGCAUGCUGGUUUGGAUUGGAUCUUCCCGUGCGUUCUCGUGAAUGUUUGUUAGCCAAAUUGUUUAUCCGUUUGUAGAGGUUAGUUAUAUACAAAAAGUGAAUGUCUGGAAUGGGAUGCAUGCAUGCUUAUUGAGCAAAGUGAAUGUCCGUGAAAGGGGCUAUCUGUGUUGAUACACGGAAGUGACGCCUGGUGCGUUUUCUCCUUCCUCUUCCCCCAUCGAAUAGAUCUCGCCGCCGCCGCCGUCCAGCCACUCUCUGGCCCCUUCCCUCUCGGUCUCGGAGUCCUCGCCGCACCGGGUAGGGAAAGGGGCCCCCACCCUCCCUCCCUCCUGUACAGCCUAUAGGAGUCCCGCGAUGAGGUCUCCCCUGGUGGUUGCCUUCGCCGUCGCCGUUGUUGUCACUGCUGCUGCAGCUCCCGUCGCCGACGAGGCUCCUACCAAGAUAUGUGCUUCUCCGACCCGCAUCCACCGCGUCCCACCUCCGCCUUCUCUACUAUGCAGCCAUCGCUCCCGCCGAUCCAGACAGCUCUUCUUGUGGCGUUGUCGCACCGACUUCGUCUUCACCGGGAUCCAGACUUGGAGCUCCUUCUUCUUCCCCCAGCGACGGCAACAACCUUAUUCUUCGGUCGCUUGGCGCAUGCUUCAUCACCGGCUCCGUCGUCCCACCCUCAACCGACGCUUGGCGCGGCCUUCCACCUGGGUGUAUGCGCCUUCGGCGCCUCUACGACCCCCCUCCGGCGAAUCCGUCGUCGUCAACGCCUUCGUUGUAGCUGUCGUGCUUAUCCGGUCUUUGGACCCAGAUAUAAUUUGAUCUUUCUUGGAGGACCUUUCUGUAAAAUAGCUGCUUAAUAUAUAAUAUAUGCAGUUGUAAAAAAAAAAGAUACAGCAA